This is a ribosomal RNA of Astyanax mexicanus (Mexican tetra), 120 nucleotides long. The record is from Ensembl. Lineage: Eukaryota; Metazoa; Chordata; Actinopteri; Characiformes; Acestrorhamphidae.
GCUUAUGGUCACACUACCCUCAAACACCUGAUCUCGUCUGAUCUCGGAAGCUUAAGCAGGGUUUGGCAUUGGUUAGUAACUGGAUGGAAGACCACCUGGGAAUACCAGGUGCUUUAAGCU